This 75-nucleotide transfer RNA is filed under the name Candidatus Sungiibacteriota bacterium. RNAcentral's name for it is "Candidatus Sungbacteria bacterium tRNA-Val". It matches the Rfam family "tRNA". Rfam says of the family: Transfer RNA (tRNA) molecules are approximately 80 nucleotides in length. Their secondary structure includes four short double-helical elements and three loops (D, anti-codon, and T loops). The record is from RNAcentral. Lineage: Bacteria; Candidatus Sungiibacteriota.
GGGCGGUUAGCUCAGCGGAAGAGCAUCUCGUUUACACCGAGGGGGUCGUAGGUUCAAAUCCUACACCGCCCACCA